UUAAGGAUGGAACAGCUGGCUCUCAGUAACGACGAACGGCUUGGUACAUUUUGUUUUCUCAACGGCGAAAGAAGCGGGCCACUCUCUUUUCUUCCGAAACGACUUAAAAAUGAAACCUUUCGCGAUCUCUUGUCUUCCUUCCCCCCCCCCCCCGCUCCCGUAUCCUUUAGUACGCGAACAAGCCUCGCUCCGGACUUCCAUUAACUCCGUAAUUUCGGUUUUCACCGAACCGCAGACCUACCUAGCGCGCCCCGUUGUAUCUCGAUGUUUCACAGAGCGAGCGCGCACACGAGCGCCCACCUAUCUACCUAUCCAGCUUUCGUCUAAGUGCACCGUUACGCUCGGAGCAAAAGUUGUGGGAUGCUCGAAACACGAGAUACCGCACAAAGCCCUUAGGUGGCCAGGUGGGCACCGACGUUUUCGGGUGAAGCGUCGCGUAAAGUAGUGGUAAAAGAGUUGCGGGAACGUAAAAGUCGUCGUGACCCACGUCCACUCCGUAUCCGGAAACUUUAGUUUCACUGAGAAGACCGAAACGACCGUCUUUCGCUAAAUUGCGCCUCGAAAGAAUUUCAACAGCAGUAUUUCUCAAUAGCCUCCUAUCACCCGUAUAAAUAGCGGCUUACACCGAGACGAAAGAGAAUCGAAUCCCUUUAAACUCACGAUCAGUCUGUCCGUUUCGGCUUCUCUCGCGAUGAUUUUUACGCGGACGAGUGCUCUGAAAUUUUACAUGCCGAUUUAUUAAACGUUUGUUACUUCGUACGUUUUUAUAUUUAUUUAUACAUUUAUCCUCGCGGUGCUAACCUGUCUUCCUCAACUCUAGUUGUCACGUGCACACACACACACACACCUCGGGUAUGCGAGGAAAGAACACGAUAUUAAACGGUCUGAGUGGGCUUUCCAAUCGGAUUUCGGUGAACGACCAAACCAUUCUCAUUAAUCCUUGCGAAAGCCCCAAUCCGUAAGAACAAUGGUCAUCCAUCCCAGACGGUCUCAUGGAGAACAAACAAAUGUACGGGUAAUCGGGAAUAACGGGCCUUUGUAUUUCGUAAUUGAACGUCGUCUUCCGCUCAAGUUUUCGACGGUGCCAUCUUGAUGAAAAUUAGACGGGCCGGGAAAAACCGCCGUGUUUUAUAGCGUUCUCGGCUAUUGUUCGUGAACGUAAAGCUGUAUGCAGCUUUCGACCUGCACGCGUCGAGUUUUCUCUUUUGGUGUGCGUUGUAUCUCGCCUCUCUCUUUUUAUUUCGAAAACAAUGCCCGUUUGUUACAACGACAACGCGAGCAACAAAAUACGGCUUUGAUACCGACGACACAAUAUCGGCUCGUUAUCGAUAUCACGCAGCAUAAUUAAUUAAUAAUUCUCUCGAUAUUACCGCGUAAUAAUGAUUUAAAACGAACGCGCACAAUAGAAUGCUUUAACAAUCAGUGAUGCGUCAUUACGAUUAUAAACAUAUUAAUGAAGCAAAGCGUUAACGCGGGAUUACCGGCUCGCGGCGCGUAGGGACGCGCGGAAUGCCCGUGCGGAGUUCAUGCGUGGGCGCGGUUACGCGCGUGGUACGUAUACAUACAAUAUAUACGCGUGUUUAUAAAAUAAAUAAUAUUUUUGAUGCAUAUAUACGAAUGUAUUCGCGCGUGUAGACAAACUCGCGCCGCGCCGCACGCGCUGCGUAAUCGCAAAAAUCAAUAUUAUCGCCGCGGAUUCGCGGGUCGCGCCUCACCUCCAGCGCCGCGCCUCGGCAUCGCUCCAGCAGCGGCCGAAAUCGUGUUUCCUCUCUCCCUCUCUCUUUCUCUCGUCGUGCUCUUCGAGUCGUAUAAAUUUGUCAACCGAUGACCGGCUCGCAGCCAUUUUACUCUUAUCCGAAGAUUUAGCUUCCUUCGAACGGACCGGCUGCGGUAAUAGCGGUUCGCGAGAUUUAUUAGCGGAUUCAUGGGCGGGACGUUAAUUCGUGCCGAAGAGCUCGAGAGCGGUCGGGGAAAUGGCGAGGACGAGAAAGAAGAACGAGAAGACGGGAAACGGGUGCAAUCGGUGCAAGUGAUGGGAGGCCACGAGAGAAUGGGGGAGGAGAGCUGCGCGGGAACAGAGAGAAUCACCGAAGCUGCACUGCACGCAUAAAGCAGACCGAUGAGAGGCGGACAUCGCGCGCGGAUGUGCCUUUUUGCGUGGCAACGCAAACGCUGCCUCUCUCUUUCUCUCUCUCUCUCUUUUUUCCUCCGGCUUUAAUCCCCGCACCGGUUGUAAUUUGAUCCGCCUUUGUAACGACCGCUUGCCGCCCGCGCCGCGCCGCGCGCAUCCGUUCGCUUCCGCUUUGGGCGCGGAAAAACGUCGCGCACGCGGGUGACCGCCGCAAAGCGUAGGCGGAAUAAUGACGGUUAAUGAAAAUAUAAAAGGGCUAACGCGACCGAUGGUGCGCGCCAGUGUUGGAUCGAGCCGCGACGCGAAGUAGCGAAAAAGCGGCGGGAAAUAACGGCGGCGAUUAAUCGCCGCGUCUAAUGCGCUUUGAUCGAUCCACUUUGUCAUUCCUCUCUCGCGUUUUCGUUCGAGAUACGUGAAAAUGGGUACGUCGUUGAGGUAGUUGGGGACCAUUUGCACCGCCGCUUUAUCGAUAUCGAGAGUGACGAUAUCUUCCGUUAUCGUAACGAAAAAAUGAAUUGGAUCAUAAACGUACGAUGGCACGAUAAUUGUACGCGAGUCGCCGGAUAAUAAAUCACCAGCCGGAAAAAAAAAGUCUCGAAACUGUAAUCUUGUACGCUCAGAUGGCAAUUAUUGAAGAAAAACGUCAUGUGGUUUACUAAUGGACGGUAGCAUGCACGGUUGACGUUCAAUUCGUCGAGACUUUUUCAUUUUUCCUUCCUCGCAUCGGGAAGCAUGAAAGUGACAAGUACCUGGUAGGCAGCGAAAAAGGUGACUAUCCCAUAAACCAUCGUCAAGACACGUGAUCUCUCUGUAAGCCGGAUCGUUCGUUAAAGGUAAUUUAUAAGAUGGUUUACAAGCGAGUUCAGCCCGCGUACCAGGCAGUAUACGCUCGCUACAGGACACCGUUUUCCCCUGGUAGCUGCAAGAAAUGUCUACGCUGGUGCUGUUCAACGGCGGGCAGAUUUCUACGAGAGAUAAUCAACGCUUGGAGAAGGUAAACAAUAAAUUUUAUAUUAUUAUUACGACGCGUCAUUAAAUAAGAAGAAUGUUGUUUCUAGCAGAGGUCUUAAGUGUCGUCCGACACUUGCGAAGGUAAAUGUACACUGUCAAAAUAAACUUACUGAGGCAUGAAGGCGGCUGGUACCACUCGUUGUCGG
Molecule: long non-coding RNA, 3288 nt
Organism: Solenopsis invicta (red fire ant)
Lineage: Eukaryota; Metazoa; Arthropoda; Insecta; Hymenoptera; Formicidae
Exons: 2
Source: RefSeq, a predicted model, not a curated record